UAUCUACAUUGAAUACCUGGCUAUG
Molecule: microRNA, 25 nt
Filed under: Bombyx mori (domestic silkworm)
Lineage: Eukaryota; Metazoa; Arthropoda; Insecta; Lepidoptera; Bombycidae
Description: bmo-miR-3399
Source: miRBase by way of RNAcentral